This 282-nucleotide long non-coding RNA is filed under the name Ricinus communis (castor bean). RNAcentral's name for it is "long non-coding RNA (RCOM_LNC001232)". Lineage: Eukaryota; Viridiplantae; Streptophyta; Magnoliopsida; Malpighiales; Euphorbiaceae. The record is from RNAcentral.
GGAAGUUGAGGUUGGUGGGGGCAUCGGUGCAUCCUCGGCAGGAGUUGUGCUUGUAGACGGUGGAGGGUCCUGAGUGGCAGUUGGAACUAUUGGAGGCUGGGUCGCAUCUGGGAUACAAUCGCCGAGGUCUAGUUCAAUAUCACCCAGGUCAUCAAACAAUCGUUGCACUCCAUCAUCCUUGCCGGAAUUAGCGAUUCGCUAGAGCUGAGCUGCCAUCUAAUCUGACUAUGUAACCUGUCUCUCGAGGCCCUCCAAAAGCUGCUGCAGUACCUAGUUAAAACC